This 292-nucleotide ribosomal RNA is filed under the name uncultured prokaryote. Its description in RNAcentral is "partial 16S ribosomal RNA". It matches the Rfam family "Bacterial small subunit ribosomal RNA", at positions 505 to 796 of the family's 1533-position model. The record is from RNAcentral.
GUGCCAGCAGCCGCGGUAAUACAGAGGUGGCGAGCGUUGUUCGGAUUUACUGGGCGUAAAGGGUGCGUAGGUCCCACUGUAUGUCGGAUGUGAAAGCCUGGGGCUCAUCUCCAGAAUUGCAUUCGAAACUGCAGAGCUAGAGUACAGGAUGGGAGAGCGGAAUUCUUGGUGUAGCCGUGAAAUGCGUUGAUAUCAAGAAGAACACCGGUGGCGAAGGCGGCUCUCUGGAAUGUUACUGACACUGAGGCACGAAAGCUGGGGGAGCAAACAGGAUUAGAUACCCUGGUAGUCC